RNAcentral lists this ribosomal RNA (497 nucleotides) under uncultured bacterium. Its description in RNAcentral is "partial 16S ribosomal RNA". It matches the Rfam family "Bacterial small subunit ribosomal RNA", at positions 28 to 507 of the family's 1533-position model. The record is from RNAcentral.
GAUGAACGCUGGCGGCGUGCCUAAUACAUGCAAGUCGAGCGAACAGACGAGGAGCUUGCUCCUCUGACGUUAGCGGCGGACGGGUGAGUACCACGUGGAUAACCCACCUAUAAGACUGGGAUACCUUCGGGAAACCGGAGCUAAUACCGGAUAAUAUAUUGAACCGCAUGGUUCAAUAGUGAAAGACGGUUUUGCUUUCACUUAUAGAUGGAUCCGCGCCGCAUUAGCUAGUUGGUAAGGUAACGGCUUACCAAGGCAACGAUGCGUAGCCGACCUGAGAGGGUGAUCGGCCACACUGGAACUGAGACACGGUCCAGACUCCUACAGGAGGAAGCAGUAGGGAAUCUUCCGGAAUGGGCGAAAGCCUGACGGAGCAACGCCGCGUGAGUGAUGAAGGUCUUAGGAUCGUAAAACUCUGAUAUUAGGGAAGAACAAAUGUGUAAGUAACUAGGCACGUCUUGACGGUACCUAAUCAGAAAGCCACGGCUAACUACGUG